UGCGUAGGCGGGCUAAUAAGUCAGUGGUGAAAUCUUCCGGCUCAACCGGGAACCUGCCAUUGAUACUGUUAGUCUUGAGUUCUGUUGAGGUAGGCGGAAUGUGUAAUGUAGCGGUGAAAUGCUUAGAUAUUACACAGAACACCAAUUGCGUAGGCAGCUUACUAGACCGACACUGACGCUGAGGCACGAAAGCGUGGGGAGCGAACAGGAUUAGAUACCCUGGUAGUCC
This 229-nucleotide ribosomal RNA is filed under the name uncultured bacterium. RNAcentral describes it as "partial 16S ribosomal RNA". It matches the Rfam family "Bacterial small subunit ribosomal RNA", at positions 568 to 796 of the family's 1533-position model. The record is from RNAcentral.